UAUGAAGUUUAAAGGAACCGAGGGAGAGAGAGACAAGGACUUCUGAUGAGAGGCGACCCCACCCAAGACAGCUGGAAGCCUUAACUGCUGGACUGCAGCAGUGCCUGGGGGCAGGGAUGGAUGAGAAGUCCGUGCUUCGCCCACCUAGAGGUCUGCAGUGCAUGGGGGGGGGGGCGGCAGCCCAGGCCUGACAACAGUCAGACUCCCAAUCAUCUUAAACGUCUGAAUCACACUAGCCUCCUAUAGGAACAGAUGAAACCUACCAACAAGGCUGUCUAGAAGGCAAACUGCAGGAUCUAGGACCUGGGGGAACCGGUAUCCACACCCACACCGCUGGACCCUUUCCUGUGUGUUAAGACCCAGUAACUCAACUUUCUCCGCAGCCCAGCAGAAUUGAGAAGCUGAAGCCACUGGGAUAGAAUUCAUCUGGUCAAUCUACGGCAGGGCAGAGAGAAGGUUCAGAGGAAGGACUUAGUGCGCGCUCCCUGUCCUCUGCGAUCCCAAAGAGGGUCUUCAUCCUUGUCCGUGAACUCUUUCUUGGACCCACUCCAGAUGUGAUGCUCCCCAACCCUUCCCAAACAGCAAGGCCCAGAAAUCGCUUUUGCUCUCCUGGAUGCCAGCCCACAGUCCCCUCCCCAGGAGAAGGCCAAGCCAGGCCAGGCAGGAAUACUGGCUUUCAGGAGUGCCAGCUUGCAGGCGAGCUUGGGACUCCUGGAAGUCUCAGGCCACCGGGUCUCCCGCUUUGCUCGUCCUUGGCGACCUGGGCUCCCGGACCUGCAACUCAGGCGGCAGUAGGCCGGGUCACGAGGAAGAGAGCUUCAGAUCGGCCCACGCGGGGCUGGGGCUGGGGCUGGGGUGGGGCUCAGUGGCUCCGGCUCCCCUGUGCUCCCCGCCCCCGCCGGCCAGCUCGCCCUUGCUCUGCCGGCGCGCGUUCCUCGGGCGCCACCUCUUUGCGACUAGCUCAUUUCUCAGCAGGUUGGCCCCAGAGCGUGUGAACCUUUUUGGUUUGGGCUCGCAGCUCCUCUCCAACCUGCGCCGCCCCAGCUGGGCCGCUCCGCCCCACCGCCGGAACCCGCCCUCGCGGCCACCUGGCCCUCGCAUCCACGACACGCGCGCCUGCAACUUGUUCAAGGGCGUUGUGGAAUCAACUUUCCGGAAGCAACCAGCCCACCGGAGGAGAGGAAGCUCUCCGGUUGCUUUUUCCCCUCUCGGGUCCCUUUUUGCCUGUGUGGUUUGGGAGAGGCACAGUUGGAGGCGCUGA
RNAcentral lists this long non-coding RNA (1261 nucleotides) under Cricetulus griseus (Chinese hamster). Its description in RNAcentral is "lncRNA (ENSCGRG00000026243.1)". Lineage: Eukaryota; Metazoa; Chordata; Mammalia; Rodentia; Cricetidae. The record is from RNAcentral.